GCCCAGACUCCUACGGGAGGCAGCAGUGAGGAAUAUUGGUCAAUGGCCGAGAGGCUGAACCAGCCAAGUCGCGUGGGGGAAGAAUGUCCUAUGGAUUGUAAACCUCUUUUGUCAGGGAGCAAUUGAGUCCACGUGUGGGCUUAGCGAGAGUACCUGAAGAAAAAGCAUCGGCUAACUCCGUGCCAGCAGCCGCGGUAAUACGGAGGAUGCGAGCGUUAUCCGGAUUUAUUGGGUUUAAAGGGUGCGUAGGCGGAAUAUCAAGUCAGCGGUAAAAAUUCGGGGCUCAACCCCGUCGUGCCGUUGAAACUGAUGUUCUUGAGUGGGCGAGAAGUAUGCGGAAUGCGUGGUGUAGCGGUGAAAUGCAUAGAUAUCACGCAGAACUCCGAUUGCGAAGGCAGCAUACCGGCGCCCAACUGACGCUGAAGCACGAAAGCGUGGGUAUCGAACAGGAUUAGAUACCCUCGUA
This 466-nucleotide ribosomal RNA is filed under the name uncultured bacterium. Its description in RNAcentral is "bacterial SSU rRNA". It matches the Rfam family "Bacterial small subunit ribosomal RNA", at positions 329 to 792 of the family's 1533-position model. The record is from RNAcentral.